GAUGAACGCUGGCGGCGUGCCUAAUACAUGCAAGUCGAGCGAACAGACGAGGAGCUUGCUCCUCUGACGUUAGCGGCGGACGGGUGAGUAACACGUGGAUAACCUACCUAUAAGACUGGGAUAACUUCGGGAAACCGGAGCUAAUACCGGAUAAUAUAUUGAACCGCAUGGUUCAAUAGUGAAAGACGGUUUUGCUGUCACUUAUAGCUGGGUCGGCGCCGCAUUAGCUAGUUGGUAAGGUAACGGCUUACCAAGGCGACGAUCAGUAGCCGACCUGAGAGGAUGACCAGCGACACUGGGACGGAGACACGGCCGAGACUCGUACGGGAGGCAGCAGUGGGGAAUAUUGCGCAAUGGGCGAAAGCAUGACGCAGCCAUGCUGCGUGAAUGAUGAAGGUAGUAGGAUAGUAAAAUUCUUUAACCGGGGACGAUAAUGACGGUACCCGGAGAAGAAGCCCCGGCUAACUUCGUG
RNAcentral lists this ribosomal RNA (472 nucleotides) under uncultured bacterium. Its description in RNAcentral is "partial 16S ribosomal RNA". It matches the Rfam family "Bacterial small subunit ribosomal RNA", at positions 28 to 507 of the family's 1533-position model. The record is from RNAcentral.